This 760-nucleotide ribosomal RNA is filed under the name Vibrio sp. A8-1. RNAcentral describes it as "partial 23S ribosomal RNA". It matches the Rfam family "Bacterial large subunit ribosomal RNA", at positions 2189 to 2925 of the family's 2925-position model. Lineage: Bacteria; Pseudomonadati; Pseudomonadota; Gammaproteobacteria; Vibrionales; Vibrionaceae. The record is from RNAcentral. RNAcentral also lists the same sequence under 2 other names.
ACCUUGAAAUACCACCCUUGUAGUUUUGAUGUUCUAACGUUGGCCCCUAAUCGGGGUUGCGGACAGUGCCUGGUGGGUAGUUUGACUGGGGCGGUCUCCUCCCAAAGAGUAACGGAGGAGCACGAAGGUGGGCUAAUCACGGUUGGACAUCGUGAGGUUAGUGCAAUGGCAUAAGCCCGCUUAACUGCGAGAAUGACGGUUCGAGCAGGUGCGAAAGCAGGUCAUAGUGAUCCGGUGGUUCUGAAUGGAAGGGCCAUCGCUCAACGGAUAAAAGGUACUCCGGGGAUAACAGGCUGAUACCGCCCAAGAGUUCAUAUCGACGGCGGUGUUUGGCACCUCGAUGUCGGCUCAUCACAUCCUGGGGCUGAAGUCGGUCCCAAGGGUAUGGCUGUUCGCCAUUUAAAGUGGUACGCGAGCUGGGUUUAGAACGUCGUGAGACAGUUCGGUCCCUAUCUGCCGUGGGCGUUGGAGAAUUGAAGGGGGCUGCUCCUAGUACGAGAGGACCGGAGUGGACGAACCUCUGGUGUUCGGGUUGUCACGCCAGUGGCAUUGCCCGGUAGCUAAGUUCGGAAUUGAUAAGCGCUGAAAGCAUCUAAGCGCGAAGCGAGCCCUGAGAUGAGUUCUCCCUGGCACUAUAAGUGUCCUAAAGGGUUGUUCGAGACUAGAACGUUGAUAGGCAGGGUGUGUAAGCGCUGUGAGGCGUUGAGCUAACCUGUACUAAUUGCCCGUGAGGCUUAACCAUACAACACCCAAGGGGUUU